RNAcentral lists this long non-coding RNA (1256 nucleotides) under Equus caballus (horse). Its description in RNAcentral is "lncRNA (ENSECAG00000053899.1)". Lineage: Eukaryota; Metazoa; Chordata; Mammalia; Perissodactyla; Equidae. The record is from RNAcentral.
CACACAUGUGUGCACACACGCAUGAUUUGGUUCCGGGGAGAGUCCUGUGUGCUUACAUCUCACUCCUAGAAAUGCUGUCUGUUGCUGUAGCAUUGUGGCUUUUCCCUUCUUUUGCUGUAAUUUGAAUCAGUAUCCAUACCUUACAUGAUAAACGCAUUGAAAAGAUUUAGUGCAGAAAGAUAUGAAAAGGAACUCAGGGCAUCUGAGGAGUGAGGACGGGCCCACACACUGCACAGGAAAUAAUUAACCAACACUCUGGCUAACUGGACCACUCUCAGAUGGUAUCAUUCACUGAUAAGGGCCUGAAGUAACUGCAGAGGUGAUGGUGGUAGGUUUGGGGGGUGAGAAAGAGGGGCAAGAUGUAAGACUGAAGAUGAAUUUAAAACUGGGAAGGAGUUUUUGCCAGAAAACAACUUUGCUAAACAGGAUCUGCCAACAAGCCCAAACAGAUCUUUUGAUCCAAUCUAAGUUCAUCAGCUGAAUUUGGGCUCUUAUAAUUAUGCUCCAUCCUGCCACUUGUUGGGACUGCCUCCUGUAUCACCCCUUUGAGAUGCUGAUUUUUCCGUGAAUAUAUUCAUUGAGUCCAAUACAUUCAGUGAGUCCAAACUUUGGAGCUGAUCCUAAAGAAAAUAUCCAACGAAAGGAAGAAGCGAUAGGCAUAAUGAUGUUCAUGGCAUUUUUUGUAUGAUAGUGAUAUAUUAGAAAACUCCCUUCAUGCCGAGAAUGUACAUCCACUUUGUAAAGAGUAUUGACUGUGAUCAUUAUGAAAACUAUGUUGCAACUCGGAAGAAUGGUGGACUAUUCUCUUUAUCAAGCUGCCACCAUCCAAAGCACUGUGCCACAUUUGAACACAAAACUAUGCUAUGAUGUAGAAAAUAAAUCACAGAGAUGCUCAGUGAACCACCUGAACCACCAGCCCUGGAGCUGCCUGCAGGCAAGAACAUUGACGACACUGUCAAGGGCCCCAGAAAGACUUUAAUCUCAGAUUCACCAAACCCAGCUGCCACCUUGGACGGUUUGAAACUAAGAUUACAUCUGUAUUAGCGUCUUUCAAGCUGCUGCUCUAAAUCUAUGAAGAUAAACAUCAGAGAUACGUUUAUGACUCUCCAUUUAUCAGUUAGUCUUUUGAAAUUUCCAAUUUAGGGAUGAAUACACUGGCUUGUGUGCUCCUUUCAAGCCCCACCCUACCCUUCUCUCAGCCCACAGGCUGCAGGGAGAGGAGCUACAUCAAUUUUUCAACAGUUAGGAUGACAGAG